CCUACGGGAGGCAGCAGUGAGGAAUAUUGGUCAAUGGGCGCGAGCCUGAACCAGCCAAGUCGCGUGAGGGAAGACGGUCCUAUGGAUUUUAAACCUCGUUUGUCGGGGAGCAAAAGACGCCACGCGUGGCUUUCCGAGAGUACCCUAAGAAAAAGCAUCGGCUAACUCCGUGCCAGCAGCCGCGGUAAUACGGAGGAUGCGAGCGUUAUCCGGAUUUAUUGGGUUUAAAGGGUGCGUAGGCGGUCGGAUAAGUUAGAGGUGAAAUCCCGAGGCUCAACUUGGGAAUUGCGUCUGAUACUGUUAGGCUAGAGAGUAGUUGCGGUAGGUGGAAUGUAUGGUGUAGCGGUGAAAUGCUUAGAGAUAAGACAGAACACCGAUUGCGAAGGCAGCUUACCAAGCUACAUCUGACGUUGAGGCACGAAAGCGUGGGGAGCAAACAGGAUUAGAUACCCUUGUAGUC
This 460-nucleotide ribosomal RNA is filed under the name uncultured bacterium. RNAcentral's name for it is "partial 16S ribosomal RNA". It matches the Rfam family "Bacterial small subunit ribosomal RNA", at positions 338 to 795 of the family's 1533-position model. The record is from RNAcentral.